Molecule: transfer RNA, 67 nt
Filed under: Marmota monax (woodchuck)
Lineage: Eukaryota; Metazoa; Chordata; Mammalia; Rodentia; Sciuridae
Description: tRNA.Ser
Source: RNAcentral
GGAUUGUGGCUCAGUGGUAGAGCGAUUGCCUUGAGCGUGCAAGACCUGAGUUCGAUCCUUAGCACCA